GAGGAAUAAGCAUCGGCUAACUCCGUGCCAGCAGCCGCGGUAAUACGGGGGAUGCAAGCGUUAUCCGGAAUCAUUGGGCGUAAAGCGCCUGUAGGUUGUUUAAUAAGUCUGUUGUUAAAGACUAGGGCUCAACCCUAGGAAAGCAAUGGAAACUACUAGACUUGAGUAUGAUAGGGGUAGAGGGAAUUUCUAGUGUAGCGGUGAAAUGCGUAGAUAUUAGGAAGAACACCGGUGGCGAAGGCGCUCUACUGGAUCAUUACUGACACUCAGAGGCGAAAGCUAGGGUAGCAAAAGGGAUUAGAUACCCCUGUAGUCCUAGCCGUAAACGAUGGAUACUAGAUGUUGCGUUUAUUAUGCAGUAUCGUAGCUAACGCGUUAAGUAUCCCGCCUGGGGAGUACGCUCGCAAGGGUGAAACUCAAAGGAAUUGACGGGGGCCCGCACAAGCGGUGGAGCAUGUGGUUUAAUUCGAUGCAACGCGAAGAACCUUACCAAGGCUUGACAUACUACAAAUUUCUUUGAAAGAGGAAAGUGCCUUCGGGAAUGUAGAUACAGGUGGUGCAUGGCUGUCGUCAGCUCGUGUCGUGAGAUGUUGGGUUAAGUCCCGCAACGAGCGCAACCCUUAUUUUUAGUUGCUAAUUUAUUAGGUUUUCUAGAAAGACUGCCGGUGACAAACCGGAGGAAGGUGAGGAUGACGUCAAGUCAGCAUGCCCCUUAUGCCUUGGGCUACACACGUGCUACAAUGGUUAAGACAAAGAGUUGCGAGCUCGCGAGAGUCAGCUAAUCUCAUAAACUUAGCCUAAGUUCGGAUUGUAGGCUGCAACUCGCCUACGUGAAG
This 836-nucleotide ribosomal RNA is filed under the name Haptophyta environmental samples. Its description in RNAcentral is "bacterial SSU rRNA". It matches the Rfam family "Bacterial small subunit ribosomal RNA", at positions 481 to 1325 of the family's 1533-position model. Lineage: Eukaryota; Haptophyta. The record is from RNAcentral.